Molecule: long non-coding RNA, 6194 nt
Organism: Megalobrama amblycephala (Wuchang bream)
Lineage: Eukaryota; Metazoa; Chordata; Actinopteri; Cypriniformes; Xenocyprididae
Exons: 4
Source: RefSeq, a predicted model, not a curated record
ACAGAUAAAUAAACACAAUCCACGUUAAUAUCCUCAGCCAGCGUUUACAUAAAAGAUGGGAGCGGGCUGUAGCAUAGGCUAUUGCAAGGGACGAUGUGCUGACUGAGAUGAAUGUGCAGGGUCCGAACAGGGUCUCUUUUUUGUGAAAAUUACAGCUUUUGUAGAUCAAGCCCCUGGUGGGGAGCCAAUACAACCAGCGUCUUUGUUCAGGUGAAAUUCCUCACCGUUAUCUCAACCCACCGCCAACAACCCACUCCCCGCCCCGUUCGCUAGCCGCUAGUGCUUUAAUUAGGGGUCCUCGAAACCCACUCCGGGCCCGCCGACAUGACUACUCUCAUGCAGCAGGUAAUAGAGGGCAACAGUUGGGUUCCGGAAAUUUAAAAAAAAAGUCCAUUCAUUAUCUCCAUAGGGAAGUUGAUUUUUUUUAGCGAUAACUUCUGUAGGCUUUAUGCCGAAUGCCACAAACAGGAAAACAGGUCUCAUUGCAUCCGCUUGUUGGAGAAGGUGUUACUGGUAAUAUGAACUGAUGGUGAUAUCUAUAGACUUUUAUGGUAAUCAGCUAACCUAACUAGUUAUUUUUAUUGUUGGUGUUUUAUUGUAUUUAAAUAUCUAAAUGUCAGUGAGAAUAAGGAAAAUAAAAAAACUUUUAGAUAUCAAUCUGCAUAUGUGAUAGACAUUGGUUAUGCUUAUCUUUGCUCGCUCCUUUGAAGGUAUCUUGAGUAAAACGACUAUGUUUAAUGUAGGGCUGAGGGAAAUGGCCAAAAAUAUUAUUAAGAUAUUUUUUCCAUAUUAUACAGUAUCGAUAUUUAUCACAAUAUUCAUUUAACGUUAAUGGAGAAAGAAAUGAUUUCCACAUAUUUGUCAGACCUUGAGAAUGAAUGUAAACAUAAACUUGUUUGUUCACAAUUAAACUACAAAGUAGCCUCAUUUUAUUUUUCCCUAAAUGCUGUGUUUUCAAUUUGAUUUUUUCUGGAUUCUGUGUUUUAUGAUUUAAUACAAAUUUAUCAUUAAAAUUGGGUGUCUAAUUAAUGGGUGUCUUGUUUUGAUGUCCUUCAGGGAGGAUCAAGCUUUCUUUAGGGGUGUCAUACCCCCCCCCCCAAACCCCCCUGUAAAUCACACCCUGGUUUCAUGUCUUUAUAUUUUAAUGCAUUUAAGUCAAACUAUUGAGUGUUAUAUCGAACAUUUUUUCCAUCGUUAUUGAUAAAAGUAUAACAUUGAUAAACACAGAUACCGUUUUAUCACCCAGGCUUUAAAGAAGCACAUACAAAAGACCUGAACCGUAAGCGAUGCAACCUGUUUUACAGAAUAUGGAAGUUUGUUAUAACCCCCAUUAUGAGCUCCAAGGUUGUUAAUAAUGGUAUAUGCCUUUGUUGAAACCAUCUGUUCACAUGAUUUCAGCUCAUUUAAAAAAAAAAAAAAAAAAUUGUUUAAAAAUCAAAUAAAUGUUGUCAUCGUUUUUAAUUUAUUCACAAUGCAUCAUGGGAUUGUAGUUCUUUUCCUCAUUAAAGCCAUUAAGUACAAAAUCUUGCACCUUUUUGUCUGAUUUUCAAAUAUUUUUUUGCUUCAAAUCAAAGUUUGUAAUGUUGUGAUUCACCUUGGAGCUGGCUGGCUUUAUUAUAAUUUUUUUAAAUCCCCAUGAGAAAAAUGAAUGAAAAAGUACUUCUGGAACCAACAUAUUUGAAGAAGUGGGCAGGCACUAAUGCAUUCUAUACUGCACCAGAAUCACUCAACGCGUGUUGCGGGCGGUCAGAGCCGAGCCGACACGGCUUCGUAUUUUGGUCAUAACUGCCCGUCUGGAGGGUUCUGACCGAAGCCUGACACAUCUCAUCAGAGCUCAGACACACUAGAGGCUGCUCUAAAAGCGGCCAGAGCAAGAGAGAGGAGGUCAAACAUUCAUUUUACACUGCCUUUACACACACUGACAGAUGCUGUCUGCUUUGAUCUAUCUUUAGCCAAUCCACUCCUAUCUGAGGGCCUCUGUCCGGAAAGCCGCUUAGAACUUGCUGCCUCUCCUAUGCCCAAUGGCACCGCACGGUCGAGCUGUGCAUGCGGCGUGCAUCCAACGAGAGGGGGGAAGGGUGAUUGGAAUUCAUUCAAACCAACAGCACCCGUAGGUGAAAUCGCCAGACUUGAAAGCAUACGUGACGCCUGAUCCUUUAGGACGUGGCGCUGUAAAAACCGGCCCAGGUGAUUUACAAGCCCCAUCUCCGCGUACAAGAGCCUUCAAGAGCCACCCUCCCCCAACAGCCGGCUGUCCUGCUCAUGUCAUAAAACACCAGCUGCGGACAGAGAAACACCGCUGUCAGCAAAGCAGAACAGGAGUAAAUACACACAGAACAAAUUGAUGUGGACCCUUGUGACAACCAAAAUGAUUCAUGAUGGCUUAAAUUUGCAGAGGACUGGGGAUGCAACAGUACAAGACGUGAGCAAGGCUCAGAGCAGCUGCCCAUGUCAUUAUUGCUCUACACAGCUUUUAUCAUUCCCAUAAAUCUGGUUCUGCAGAGUCCCAUAAAAUGGCAACCUGUGAGUGUCUGGCACUCCGAAAACCCCGUGGAGAGGGAGAGGGAGAGAUCGAGACGGAAAGAAAGAAGGAGAACCAUGGGAGCUGUUAACCUGACUAAUGGCAAACUCCACUUGUGCGAAAGCCCAGCGGACUUCAUGACCGCGUUUACUGCUGCUACUGAUGAGUAAACAGAGGUGAAAAAACAGAAACUUGGCAUAAUCAGUUUCAAAAAUGAUGACAACAAUACAUACUCAGUUUAAGUGCUGAGUAGUUUGGACUUGAGUUCUACAGGAAAGCAACUAACACAGUGUCCUAACCACCAGGCACAAAGCAGUGAAGAGACAUGCAACAUUUAAACUUUGGCGUAGGCCCCGUCCAUAGUACAAUCCGGAGGGUAGCAGACGUUUGCAGAUCCUGCCUGAAGAUGAACGCCGGCGAUGGUAUCUGCGAACACGAUAGUGGGUGGGAACAGAACUUAUAUACUUAGGUGACGUGUAAUGAUUGGUUAGAAAAUGAGCAAUGACGUGCAUUAGAGUCUUACGGGUAGAACUUCCGCUAAACGCUCCCAUUUCUAAUUCAUUUGGGUAUAUUUCAAUUAUCCAUUCAAUAGUCCAUUUUGCUUGUAUAUGAAAUAAAUUUGGUGCUCAAGAAAAUGUCUUAUUAUCAAUGGCAGUUCAAACAGUUGUGCAGCUUAAUAUUUUUGAGGAAACUGUGAUACAUUUUUCAGCAUUCUUUGAUUAAUAGAAAGCUCAAAAGAUCAGCUUUUAUUUGAAAUUGAAAUCUUUUGUAACAAUGGAAAAGUCUUUACUGUCACUUUUUAUCAAUUUAAUGCAUUCUUGCUGAAUAAAAAAAUCCUAAUGCAAAUCCUAAUGCAAAAAUCCAAUUUUACGAAGCGACGCAAGUGCUUUUUUGGUUUGCGCAAAAAAACAUUACCACUUUAUUUACAAAAUGGUAAUCUCCAAUGCUCAUUCAUGCAGUGUCUGCUCUUGCAUCAACACAACACACAUGAGUCUUGGUGCUCUCGUGAACGUGUUGGAGAUUAAUAUUUUGAAAAUAAAGUGGGGCUUGAAAGUGGUAGUUGCAUAGGCUGUCAAUGAAGGGACAGAAAGCUUUCAGAUUUCAUUAAAAAGAUCUUCAUUUGUGUUACGGAGAUGAACGAAAGCUUUGUAACGACAUGAGGGUGAGUAAUUAAUGACAGAAUUUUUAUUUUUGUGUGAACUAACUCUUGAAGGUCUGGCUACACAAGACUAGCCAUUAGUGGCUAAUAUUUGUUGCAACAUUGAAACUUAAAGCAAAGACGUGAAACAUUUAAAACAACACCCAAAUUCAAAUAUCAAUAGCAAUAUUGCUGCCAGUUGCUGCUCAUAAACCUUACAGAAACUCACAUGUGAACAAUACCGGCUUCCACUACAGCAUAUGCUACUUUUAUCAGCUGAUCUCAUUUCACACUCAGCCUUCAAAUCCAUCACAGGGACAGGUAAGAUAACUGAGAAAACAAAGAGCUCAGGAAUAAUAUUGCUUCCAAGGGUAACGACAGAGUCCUGCAAUUGUGGGAAAGGAAACACCUCAUAUAAUGCUCAGGACAUUCUUAAAAAUAGGAAAAUGACUGCUUUCCUUCAAGGCUCAGUGGUCUUCUGUUGUAUGCUUUUAGCGUCGUGUUAACAACUGAACUCUCUCACCCCAUACUCAAAACACACAGCUGAUGUCAGUAUGAUAAUGUUGCGUGAGCAAUGACGUGUGUCUGCCAGACCAAACAAAAGAUCUGACACAUUCAAUGUACUUUGGCCCAAAGCAGAGUGAGCUAAGACAUCAUAACAACAGGUUGAGGUCAUCCUGCAACCUCGUUUGCAACAAAGCUAUCAUGCUACGGUAAAUACUACUUAAGAUUAACAUUUCAGGACACCUACACUGAGUUCUUAAAAGUGGUGACAUCUUUAUAUCCCUCUGUCCUAUGCGGAAAACCAGUUAAAGGGAGCCUCCACUACUGCACAUCAUCAUUGCCUAAAUUAGCGGUUUUUAAAUGUUCCUACUUGACCCAAUACAGAAACAAAGUUUUUUUUCCUCCACUCACACAAAAGUACAUAAAAAUGUCUUUAAAAAUCAAACAAUUAAAUUACCCUUAAUAUAAACACAAUAAAUUUAAAUAUGAAUAAUAUAAAUUAUUAUGAAUAAUAAAUAAAUUAUAUAUCUCAGCAUAUAAUAAAUCACAGGACAAAUAUGUUUAUCCUCAUUGCAAGUGAACUCUGUAAUAGUCUGUGACAUAUUUUCUUUCACAUUACAUAAUUUUGUUCAUGUUUUUUAAGGAUGAAAGUAUGUCAUGCAAUCUGUUCAUGUUGUCAUCUUCUUACCAGAAAUAAUUUCACAAAUUCAGACUAAACUUUUGGGCCACAACCAUUGACCUGAGAACCCUUCCUUGGUUCAGUCUGGCUACAAGAUUUCUAAAGAGGCACAUGCACAUAAUAUCUUUGUUUCCUUCAGUUUAACGCAAUAAUUUAUCUAAAAAAACAUUUUAAAUUAAUUAAGUUUAAAUAAUUCAUUGGUUGGUGGUUGAAAGGUUGCAAUCAGGCUGUCAUUUUGGCACCACAUAGGGUGUGUUCACACUUGACAUGUUUGCUUCGAUUAAAACUAACUCUGGUGUGAUUGCUGUGUUAUUGCGGUUCAUUUGAUUAAGUGUGAACGCUGCCAUAAAAACCCUUGCGCGCACCAAACAAGUGGACCGAGACCCCUGAAAGGGUGGGUGCGGUUUGACUGAAAUAUGAAAUCAACACGGUCCAAAGACAUUUAAACGAACCAAAAACACUCCAAAAAGGACAGAAUGUUGAAGCAUGCCUGUUUUUUCCUGUUUUCUCAUCAUAGGGGUUGUCCAUUACAGUUUGGUACAGGUGUCAGAAACACAUUCUCUUCACGAGUUCUCAGCCGGUCAAAAUACCAUCAUAUGUACUUUUUUUUUGCAUCUUUAGGUUCGGUCUUUAAAAUGACAGUGUGAACGUUAAGCGAACCAGGACUAAAUGUAUCGUUUUCUUUUCUGAUCCGGACCGAAACAACCAAGAGAACCAAACUACAAGUGUGAACACACCCUUAGAUUUAAGCCAGCAAUUAAACUUGAGUUAUUAAUUUUAGUGGGUUAACCUUUUAAAAUUAUCUUGAGCUGUCUGCAUCUAUUAUCAUGAACAGUUCAAGGAUCUCCAGCAAAUUUAUCAAUUUACUAAAUGUUUCUGGUUAGGAAGUGAAUUUUAAAAUUUAAAGUAUAUAUUGUGAUGGGGAAAGUUGAAAAAAUGGAAACGUGCCCACUAGGGUUGGUCAAUGUCUACCAAAUUGGCAUCAGAUGAUGUCUACAGUGAAACAUCACGUUGGACCAUGACAUCGGGGUGGGGGGUUCACAUUUGUGUUAACCUCAACUUCCAAUGGAAUGAAUUAAAAAUGCUCAUUUUGCUCCGCGCCAGUGGACACGCACCGUUAAUGUGGCAAAAGAGAGAACAGGCACAGAGUUGAAAGGGCUUGAAUGAAGCGAGUUUGGCUUUAGAUAAAACUACUAGAAGUUAUAGCACUUAUUACCACGUACGAUCCUGAGUGCUUGUGGUGUGAUCAGCACCACCGUUUUGAUGCACUGCUCACUUCAACUAGAAACAGUGAAAUGGUGCUACCGUUCUGUCUAGCAAUCCGGAUGGAGACAUGGCCCGCCAUUUGAAUA